Phragmites australis (common reed) is the source of this 1236-nucleotide long non-coding RNA. RefSeq lists it as uncharacterized. NCBI's taxonomy places the organism in Eukaryota, Viridiplantae, Streptophyta, Magnoliopsida, Poales, Poaceae. The record is from RefSeq and is a predicted model, not a curated record. The transcript has 2 exons.
UUGCCCACGAUCUCCCAACCGCGGCUUCCUCCACCAUCCAUGCCUAUCCCUGUCCUCUGCCUACUCAAAUGGGAUGGCGUACUUCCUUUGCUUCCCUAUCCUCCCCUAUCUCUGCUCUCUGCCCACCCAAUCGGCAUCUGAAUUUCUCUCAUCUAGAAUAGGAGCAGCUCUGAUGGGAGCGAAGAGGUGGAGCCACCGAAUUGGGGAGGAUGCACCGAUGACCGAUGGGGUGGUGAAGAGGUGGGGGAGCUAGCAGAGAAACGGCGGUGGGGCAAAACCCACAUGCUGUGAAGCGAACAAGGAUGGAGCAGCGACGGGUGGUGGGCUGUUGGCAUUUUCAGUUUUAUGUUUGAGGCGUUUGUUUACUUCUUUACUAUCACUGGCACUGGAUUAAUUCAGAGGCAUUGAUUGAGCGGAUUUGCCAUCAAUUUGGCAUCUUGUAGGUGUAAGGCUCAUAUAAUGAUUUGACUUUCUUCAUGCUUUGGCGUUGGUCACCAGAUGGCAUGUGCACGGUGGGGUUUUUGGUGGAGAAGGAGUUCAAAGCUUUCUCGACGGCCGAGAAGAACAAGAUCGGGCAUGUCGAGGAGGCGAUGGAGCCUGACCAGGUGAGCGAUGAGGCAUCUCAUUUAUCUGAGAAGGGUUCAUCGCCAAUCCAGAGGCAGCAAGGCUCGCCAAUCGGUCUUGAAGGAGGCGCAUUUGAUGCAUGCCCUGUAGGGGAAGGCGAAAGCCAUGAUGCCUAGGAGAAGCACCUCCAGGAAGGCCGGUGCGUGGAUGGUACAAAUGUUACUUUGCGAUCAUGUUCGUAAUCGGAGUCCAUGAGUCAAUUAUCUAAAACCAAAGUUGUAUUCAGGCAUGGUUUUUGUUUUUUUGAAGAAGCUUGUGUUUUUCAGCCUCAUGAUCUUUUGUUUUCCAUGACUAUUUUGCUGGCUUCAGAUAUAGAUUCAGUGUUUGGUAGAAAGACUACAUCCGGUCUUGGAAAGGCAGUGAGGUUCUAGCUACACUGAGUAGUAGCAUGUCAAGUUAGAGAGCCUGAAGCAUUUGAAGGACACGGUCCUUCGGUCAGAAGGUGUACAACGUGUGGUCCAAGUGAUAGGAAUGUGUUGAUGAGGAUUGCUGCAGCUAACAAGAGGUUUGCCAACAAAUGCAUUAAGAUUCUGGUAUUGUGUUAUGGUUUAGUAGAUGUAGCUACCACGGCUUUCAUGUUUCAUAAGAAAAUGAAAAUUUCUUGCAUCUUUA